This 498-nucleotide ribosomal RNA is filed under the name uncultured bacterium. Its description in RNAcentral is "bacterial SSU rRNA". It matches the Rfam family "Bacterial small subunit ribosomal RNA", at positions 29 to 518 of the family's 1533-position model. The record is from RNAcentral.
AUGAACGCUAGCGACAGGCUAACACAUGCAAGUCGAGGGGUAACAGGGUAGCAAUACCGCUGACGACCGGCGCACGGGUGAGUAACGCGUAUGCAACCUGCCUAUAACUGGGGAAUAGCUCCCUGAAAGGGGGAAUUAACACCGCAUAACACUAUUGAUUCGCAUGGAUUGGUAGUUAAAUGUAGCGAUACAGGUUAUAGAUGGGCAUGCGUGACAUUAGCUAGUUGGCGAGGUAACGGCUCACCAAGGCUACGAUGUCUAGGGGUUCUGAGAGGAAGGUCCCCCACACUGGUACUGAGACACGGACCAGACUCCUACGGGAGGCAGCAGUGAGGAAUAUUGGUCAAUGGGCGCAAGCCUGAACCAGCCAUGUCGCGUGCAGGAAGAACCUGCCCUAUGGGUUGUAAACUGCUUUUAUAGUAGAAGAAACACAUCUACGCGUAGAUGUCUGCCAGUAUACUAUGAAUAAGCAUCGGCUAACUCCGUGCCAGCCGCCGC